GACGUAGGGUGCGAGCGUUGUCCGGAUUUAUUGGGCGUAAAGAGCUCGUAGGCGGCUCGUCGCGUCGGCUGUGAAAACCCGCAGCUUAACUGUGGGCUUGCAGCUGAUACGGGCGGGCUAGAGUUCGGUAGGGGAGACUGGAAUUCCUGGUGUAGCGGUGAAAUGCGCAGAUAUCAGGAGGAACACCGGUGGCGAAGGCGGUUCUCUGGGCAUGUCCUGACGCUGAGGAGCGAAAGUGUGGGGAGCGAACAGG
Molecule: ribosomal RNA, 253 nt
Filed under: uncultured bacterium
Lineage: Bacteria
Description: partial 16S ribosomal RNA
Rfam family: Bacterial small subunit ribosomal RNA
Source: RNAcentral